GGGGAAGGUCGCGGGAAGGGCGGGAGGGGAAGGGGAAAAGCGCCCCAUUUUCAAGAGCCACUUCGGGAGGGAAAGAGGGCAACCAAGGGGGGACCUCCCUCUCCCCCUCCUUCCCUCCUGGAAGAAGAAAGGAAAGACACGUGGACGUGCCUCCUUUCCGACGUGCGGGCCUCGCCUUCCUGGGCGCUGACACGCGAGAGCCUCCCUCCCGAAGACAGAAACCUGGCCCAGUCCUUCCUCGGUAGGCUAUUGGGAGAUCACCCUUGGGAGGUAAUAAUAAUAAAUUAUUAUCAGCUGCUGAGGCGAGGCGGCGGCGGCCAUUUCCCCCCUCCGUCUUCCUCCUCCUCCUCGGCCUCCUUCCCCCUUGCCCCCUCCCAUUGGCUGAGCCUGUGACGCUCCUUUUGCUGAGGGGCAAAAGGAAAGGGCCUGAAUGGUGGGAGUUUGGGUGCUUUGCAAAAGCUUUUUUUUCCUAACGAAAAAAACGACGACAUAACGAAAAACGGCCUCUCGCGAUUCGAAACCGCGAUAUCCAGACGUGUGACAACCAAUGCUUCAAAAUUGCUUCAAAACAAACGAAAAUAACGAAUUAAUAACGGUUAACGGGGAAAACGAAUUAUUUGAGCAAGCCUAAUAUAUAUUAAAGGGUAAUGAAAUUUCGGCCUAGGACAAAACAACAAAACUACACAUCCCAGAAACACUAAACUUGGCAGCACAACCCCUCAUCCAUGCCUCUACGUUCAUACAACAAAAAGAAAAGAAAAAUCAAGUCCUAAUUAGAGGGAGAGGAAGAAUUGUUUUUAUCCAAUUGCUGCCAGUUAGAAGGCUAAGCUCCGCCCACUUGGUCUCCUAGCAACCCACUCACCCCAGGGUACAGGUAGAAUUAGGCCUCACUUAGGCCUCUUCCACACUGUCUAUAAAAUACAGAUUAUCUGAUUUUAACUGGAUUAUAUGGCAGUGUAGACUCAAGGCCCUUCCACACAGCUAUAUAACCCAUUUAUAAUGGACUUAAUGUCAGGGGAAAGCUUGACCCUUUAUCUUAACUACCACCAAUUCCUCAAUACUUUAUUUCCCAUACCACCAUACUUCGCCACAGCAACGCGUGGCCGGGCACAGCUAGUUAUUACUAAAGUUGUUUUUGCAUGCUGUCAGGGCAGCGGACAAAACAACAAAACUACAGGCCCUCCAACCUCGAAAUUUGACAAUACAACCCAUCAUCCACGGCUCUAG
RNAcentral lists this long non-coding RNA (1227 nucleotides) under Anolis carolinensis (green anole). RNAcentral describes it as "lncRNA (ENSACAG00000038236.1)". The record is from RNAcentral. Lineage: Eukaryota; Metazoa; Chordata; Lepidosauria; Squamata; Anolidae.